UACGGAGGGGGCAAGCGUUGUUCGGAAUUACUGGGCGUAAAGCGCACGUAGGCGGAUUGUUAAGUCGGGGGUGAAAUCCUGGAGCUCAACUCCAGAACUGCCUUCGAUACUGGCGAUCUCGAGUUCGGGAGAGGUGAGUGGAACUGCGAGUGUAGAGGUGAAAUUCGUAGAUAUUCGCAAGAACACCAGUGGCGAAGGCGGCUCACUGGCCCGAUACUGACGCUGAGGUGCGAAAGCGUGGGGAGCAAACAGG
This 253-nucleotide ribosomal RNA is filed under the name uncultured bacterium. RNAcentral describes it as "partial 16S ribosomal RNA". It matches the Rfam family "Bacterial small subunit ribosomal RNA", at positions 524 to 776 of the family's 1533-position model. The record is from RNAcentral.